Molecule: ribosomal RNA, 253 nt
Filed under: uncultured bacterium
Lineage: Bacteria
Description: partial 16S ribosomal RNA
Rfam family: Bacterial small subunit ribosomal RNA
Source: RNAcentral
UACGUAGGGGGCAAGCGUUGUCCGGAAUCAUUGGGCGUAAAGCGCGUGUAGGCGGCCCGGUAAGUCCGCUGUAAAAGUCAAAGGCUCAACCUUUGAAUGUCAGUGGAUACUGCCGGGCUAGAGUCCGGAAGAGGCGAGUGGAAUUCCUGGUGUAGCGGUGAAAUGCGCAGAUAUCAGGAGGAACACCGAUUGCGAAGGCAGCUCGCUGGGACGUUACUGACGCUGAGACGCGAAAGCGUGGGGAGCAAACAGG